GACGAACGCUGGCGGCGUGCCUAAUACAUGCAAGUUGAGCGAUGAAGAUUGGUGCUUGCACCAAUUUGAAGAGCAGCGCACGGGUGAGUAACGCGUGGGGAAUCUGCCUUUGAGCGGGGGACAACAUUUGGAAACGAAUGCUAAUACCGCAUAAUAACUUUAAACAUAAGUUUUAAGUUUGAAAGAUGCAAUUGCAUCACUCAAAGAUGAUCCCGCGUUGUAUUAGCUAGUUGGUGAGGUAAAGGCUCACCAAGGCGAUGAUACAUAGCCGACCUGAGAGGGUGAGCGGCCACAUUGGGACUGAGACACGGCCCAAACUCCUACGGGAGGCAGCAGUAGGGAAUCUUCGGCAAUGGACGAAAGUCUGACCGAGCAACGCCGCGUGAGUGAAGAAGGUUUUCGGAUCGUAAAACUCUGUUGGUAGAGAAGAACGUUGGUGAGAGUGGAAAGCUCAUCAAGUGACGGUAACUACCCAGAAAGGGACGGCUAACUACGUG
This 497-nucleotide ribosomal RNA is filed under the name uncultured bacterium. RNAcentral describes it as "partial 16S ribosomal RNA". It matches the Rfam family "Bacterial small subunit ribosomal RNA", at positions 28 to 507 of the family's 1533-position model. The record is from RNAcentral.